This 257-nucleotide ribosomal RNA is filed under the name uncultured bacterium. RNAcentral describes it as "partial 16S ribosomal RNA". It matches the Rfam family "Bacterial small subunit ribosomal RNA", at positions 76 to 334 of the family's 1533-position model. The record is from RNAcentral.
UUGCUUUCUUUGCUGGCGACCGGCGCACGGGUGAGUAACACGUAUCCAACCUGCCCUUUACUCGGGGAUAGCCUUUCGAAAGAAAGAUUAAUACCCGAUGGCAUAAUGAUUCCGCAUGGUUUCAUUAUUAAAGGAUUCCGGUAAAGGAUGGGGAUGCGUUCCAUUAGGUUGUUGGUGGGGUAACGGCCCACCAAGCCUUCGAUGGAUAGGGGUUCUGAGAGGAAGGUCCCCCACAUUGGAACUGAGACACGGUCCAA